This 2251-nucleotide long non-coding RNA is filed under the name Nicotiana benthamiana. RNAcentral describes it as "long non-coding RNA (NBEN_LNC031041)". The record is from RNAcentral. Lineage: Eukaryota; Viridiplantae; Streptophyta; Magnoliopsida; Solanales; Solanaceae.
ACACACUUAAAUCUUUGCUCGUCCUUGAGCAAGUUGAACCGCACUUCUACGACUAAUCGUUUGAUGCAUUACCCUAUUUAUGUAACACCUGCCAUUAUAAAAGAACAACCUAAGCAGUGUAAUAGCCACACCUCAUGUGAAGACUCUAAUGCCAUGCCAUAUGUACUCUAACAGAGGUGAAGAAUUGUUUUUUCUUCCUGAGUUAAAUGCCCUCACAUCACAUUUUUGAGAGAAGUUCCACACACAUGAAAUCAAACAUCAAAGAACUAUAGAUAGAACGAAUUCACUCACUCUCAGCAAAGAACAUUCACAUGCCACACAAAUACACCAUAAGCUUGCCUUUAAUGUAAUACUCUACUAAUCGAGUUGUUCAGUCUAAUAUCAAUAGGGCUUCAUUUGGUUGGUAUAGUGACUAACCUCCCUAAGAACUUUUAAUACAAUAGUUCCCCUUAUUCUAAUUUCCAUGUUCAACCCAAUCAUUCUUCCACACUUGUUUCAAAAGCUACCCCCCACUUUUCCUAGGUGCAACUGGCUUUUUCUUGCCAUUCAAUAUUUUAGGACUACCUAUUUACAAGGUCCUUCUUUUAUUAUUCAAAAUACUUUUUAAGAACCAUCGCACCAUUCAAGUAUUUUCCUAAUUUUCCUUUUCCCACUCCAUUACCACACCACACUCUGACUUUUAUGUGAUCUUUAACGAGUCAAGUACUUCAAGGAGGUAUCAAAAAGUCAAGCUAUUCAAACACAGGGAUGUAGGUUAUUGUAAGGUGACCAAAGAAACAGUCUUCAGGAUCGAAGGGGUUAACUAUGGUAAUAUGUAUAGGUGGAUUCAUAAUUAUAUAGGCUACACAAUGAAACGCCUAAAUCAUCUCUAAGACCAAACAUCUUCUAUUUCGCUUUGCACACAUACAAGGCAAGUGCUAGGUUUCGCAUGCAAGCAUAGAAUAUAUGUAUUACCUCACACACACUUGGUAUGUAAAUCAUUCCAAAGUAGUUUUUCAACACACUCAUGUGAGCGUUCAAGUAAGACAAGGUGUGCAACAUUAAUGCAUAAGAUUAAGAUUCUACAAGUGAGCCUAGACGUCGCACCCUCAAGUUCGUAUUAGUUAUUUGCAGGUAUGUACACUGCGGGAUGCAUUCUUGCCCUCAUCCAUAUUAGCCCAAGAGAGUCCUAAGGGCCAUUAAAAAAAUUAAAGGAAAAUCUACCUAAUCCGGUUGAAGAAAAGCCCUUGGAAAAGAACCAUGGUCAAAACAAAAACUAAGGGAGAAUUACUACACUACCUAAAAAGAAAAAAAAAGAAAAAAUCUUUUUGACUUUAUUUAUUAGACUACUUCCCUCAAGGAUACUGUCUAAGUGUUCCGUUAUCAGGAAUAAUCUCCUACAUUUUCUAGAUUUUUUUUAUAUACGACCCUAGCCCUCAAGAAACCCGUCGACAAGUGUCCAUCAGUGGGCCAAGUCAGUGACGUAUAAGAUAAGUACAAACUAUUAUGCAUAAAAACAGAGGCGCAUAAUUACAACAUACUUAAUACAUAUAUACACUAACAAUACACAACACUAAAUCAAGCAUGUGUCCCCAUGUCAUAAAACAAAUAAAGUGCAUAAGGGUAAGAAAACAUCCCUGGUCAUGACUUAGAGUGGGAGGCGGUGUUGAAUAUGACUUCUUCAUCAUUUAUUCUCAUUUUUAGUUCCCUAGUCCAACAAUCGAUCAAUGCUCUACUAGUCGCCAAAAAUGGUCUACCCAGUAUGAGAGGUAUCUCCUCAUCUACCUGGUUGUCCAGGAUAACAAAGUCUGCUGGGAACACGAACUUCCCCACUUGCACCAACACAUCAUCAAGAAUACCACUUGGCAUUUUCUCUGUGCGAUCAGCCAGCUGUAGUAGUAUAGAAGUUGGUCUAGCUCUGCCGAUGCCCAAUUUAGUGUACACAGCCAGCAUAUCAGAUUUAUGCUGUCCUCCCGAUUCCAUAAGGCCUUUGCAAAAGCGUAGCUCCCAAUUGUGCACGGAAUAGUGAAACUACCUGGCUCAGAUAUCUUUUGAGCCAUCAACGUGUCACUACUGCGUUGUAGGUCUAUGGGAGAGUCACAGUGGAAAAAUCUUGAAAAUCAAACUUUCGAGACAUUAAAUCUUUCAUUAUCUUUGCAUAACUGGGCAUCUCCCUUAAAGCAUCCAUAAAAGGAAUAUUCAACUAAAUCCGACGCAGAAUCUCCACAAAUUUCUUGUAUUGAACUUCCUUCAUUUGAUUAACCAGUCUCUG